This 452-nucleotide ribosomal RNA is filed under the name uncultured bacterium. Its description in RNAcentral is "partial 16S ribosomal RNA". It matches the Rfam family "Bacterial small subunit ribosomal RNA", at positions 30 to 507 of the family's 1533-position model. The record is from RNAcentral.
UGACCGCUGACAGAAUGCUUAACACAUGCAAGUCAACUUGAACUUCGGUUUGGGUGGCGGCCGGGUGAGUAACGCGUAAAGAACUUGCCUCACAGCUAGGGACAACAUUUGGAAACGAAUGCUAAUACCUGAUAUUAUGAUUUUAGGGCAUCCUAGAAUUAUGAAAGCUAUAUGCGCUGUGAGAGAGCUUUGCGUCCCAUUAGCUAGUUGGAGAGGUAACGGCUCACCAAGGCGAUGAUGGGUAGCCGGCCUGAGAGGGUGAACGGCCACAAGGGGACUGAGACACGGCCCUUACUCCUACGGGAGGCAGCAGUGGGGAAUAUUGGACAAUGGACCAAGAGUCUGAUCCAGCAAUUCUGUGUGCACGAUGAAGUUUUUCGGAAUGUAAAGUGCUUUCAGUUGGGAAGAAAAAAAUGACGGUACCAACAGAAGAAGUGACGGCUAAAUACGUG